This 2253-nucleotide ribosomal RNA is filed under the name seawater metagenome. RNAcentral's name for it is "bacterial LSU rRNA". It matches the Rfam family "Bacterial large subunit ribosomal RNA", at positions 14 to 2290 of the family's 2925-position model. The record is from RNAcentral.
ACGACGCUCUUCCGAUCUCUUGGCACUAGGAGCCGAAGAAGGACGUGACAAACGACGAUAUGCCUUGGGUAGCUGUAAGUAAGCGAUGAUCCAGGGAUUUCCGAAUGGGGGAACCCAACAGGUACUACCUGUUACCCGCAUCUGUUAAGGAUGUGAGGAGGAAGACGCAGUGAACUGAAACAUCUAAGUAGCUGCAGGAAGAGAAAGCAAAAGCGAUUGCCUUAGUAGCGGCGAGCGAAACGGCAGGAGGGCAAACCGAAGAGUUUACUCUUCGGGGUUGUAGGACUGCAAUGUGGACUCAAAGAUUAUAGAAGAAUGAUUUGGGAAGAUCAGCCAAAGAGAGUAAUAGCCUCGUAUUUAAAAUAGUCUUUGUACCUAGCAGUAUCCUGAGUACGGCGGGACACGUGAAAUCCCGUCGGAAUCUGGGAGGACCAUCUCCCAACCCUAAAUACUCCCUAGUGACCGAUAGUGAACCAGUACCGUGAGGGAAAGGUGAAAAGCACCCCGGGAGGGGAGUGAAAUAGAACCUGAAACCGUGUGCCUACAACAAGUUCGAGCCCGUUAAUGGGUGAGAGCGUGCCUUUUGUAGAAUGAACCGGCGAGUUACGUUAUGAUGCGAGGUUAAGUUGAAGAGACGGAGCCGUAGGGAAACCGAGUCUGAAUAGGGCGGAUUAGUAUCAUGACGUAGACCCGAAACCAUGUGACCUACCCAUGAGCAGGUUGAAGGUGCGGUAAGACGCACUGGAGGACCGAACCAGGGCACGUUAAAAAGUGCUUGGAUGACUUGUGGGUAGCGGAGAAAUUCCAAACGAACUUGGAGAUAGCUGGUUCUCUCCGAAAUAGCUUUAGGGCUAGCGUCGACAUUAAGAUUCUUGGAGGUAGAGCACUGUUUGGGUGAGGGGUCCAUCCCGGAUUACCAAUCUCAGAUAAACUCCGAAUGCCAAUGAAUUAUGGUCGGCAGUCAGACUGCGAGUGCUAAGAUCCGUAGUCGAAAGGGAAACAGCCCAGACCACCAGCUAAGGUCCCAAAAUAAUUGUUAAGUGGAAAAGGAUGUGGGGUUGCACAGACAACUAGGAUGUUAGCUUAGAAGCAGCUAUUCAUUCAAAGAGUGCGUAAUAGCUCACUAGUCGAGUGACCCUGCGCCGAAAAUGUACCGGGGCUAAAACAAUUUACCGAAGCUGUGGAUACCUUUAUAGGUAUGGUAGGAGAGCGUUCUAUGUGUGAUGAAGGUGUACCGUGAGGAGUGCUGGAACGCAUAGAAGUGAGAAUGCCGGUAUGAGUAGCGAAAGACAGGUGAGAAUCCUGUCCACCGUAAGACUAAGGUUUCCAGGGGAAGGCUCGUCCGCCCUGGGUUAGUCGGGACCUAAGGAGAGACCGAAAGGUGUAUCCGAUGGACAACAGGUUGAUAUUCCUGUACUAGAGUAUGUAGUGAUGGAGGGACGCAGUAGGCUAACUAAAGCAGACGAUUGGAAGUGUCUGUCUAAGCAGUGAGGUGUGAAUUGAGUCAAAUGCUUAGUUCUAUAACAUUGAGCUGUGAUGGGGAGCGAAGUUUAGUAGCGAAGUUAGUGACGUCACACUGCCAAGAAAAGCUUCUAGCGUUUAAACAUACUCUACCCGUACCGCAAACCGACACAGGUAGUCGAGGCGAGUAGCCUCAGGUGAGCGAGAGAACUCUCGUUAAGGAACUCGGCAAAAUGACCCCGUAACUUCGGGAGAAGGGGUGCUGACUUUAAGUCAGCCGCAGUGAAUAGGCCCAAGCAACUGUUUAUCAAAAACACAGCUCUCUGCUAAAUCGUAAGAUGAUGUAUAGGGGGUGACGCCUGCCCGGUGCUGGAAGGUUAAGAGGAGUGCUUAGCGUAAGCGAAGGUAUGAAUUGAAGCCCCAGUAAACGGCGGCCGUAACAAUAACGGUCCUAAGGUAGCGAAAUUCCUUGUCGGGUAAGUUCCGACCUGCACGAAUGGUGUAACCAUGGCCACGCUGUCUCCACCCGAGACUCAGUGAAAUUGAAAUCGCAGUGAAGAUGCUGUGUACCCGCGGCUAGACGGAAAGACCCCGUGAACCUUUACUACAGCUUGGCACUGAACAUUGAACCUACAUGUGUAGGAUAGGUGGGAGACUUUGAAGAUGAGACGCUAGUCUUGUUGGAGUCGUCCUUGAAAUACCACCCUUGUAGUUUUGAUGUUCUAACGUUGGCCCCUGAAUCGGGGUUACGGACAGUGCCUGGUGGGUAGUUUGACUGGGGCGGUCUCCUCC